UACAGAGGUCCCAAGCGUUGUUCGGAUUCACUGGGCGUAAAGGGUGCGUAGGUGGCCGGGUAAGUUUGAUGUGAAAUCUCCGAGCUCAACUCGGAAACUGCAUUGAAUACUAUCCGGCUAGAGGGUUGGAGGGGGGACUGGAAUUCUCGGUGUAGCAGUGAAAUGCGUAGAUAUCGAGAGGAACACCAGUGGCGAAGGCGAGUCCCUGGACAACUCCUGACACUGAGGCACGAAAGCUAGGGGAGCAAACAGG
Molecule: ribosomal RNA, 253 nt
Filed under: uncultured bacterium
Lineage: Bacteria
Description: partial 16S ribosomal RNA
Rfam family: Bacterial small subunit ribosomal RNA
Source: RNAcentral